GGGGACUGUCCAGAUGUGGAGAUCCCUGAAAAAAUAGGUCUUCAUCUGAGAGGAGCUUGACUUUUCAUCAAACAAAAAAUGGCCUCGAGAUGCAAAACCAGAGGUAUCUCCUGCUGCAAAACGAUGCCCUUCUCAGGGAUGCAGCCAGCAACAAGUGCUGCCCAGCGUGAUCCUGCCCUGGAGAUGCUGAAAUGAAGCAGCUUAUCUGCCCUGGGAGUGACAGAGAUAUUCUCCCAUUUCUUCAAGUUUGCCACCUGGGAAACUUUUCAGCAAUAAAUAGUCAUGAGCUGCUAUUCUGG
Molecule: long non-coding RNA, 299 nt
Filed under: Calidris pugnax (ruff)
Lineage: Eukaryota; Metazoa; Chordata; Aves; Charadriiformes; Scolopacidae
Description: lncRNA (ENSCPUG00000006751.1)
Source: RNAcentral